AAAAUCCAACAAAACUACGUAUUCGGCUUUUCGAUGGCUCCAAGGUUUCCACCAUACAACAACGAAGACACACGAAAGAAAGCGCAGAAAAUAAAUUAUUUUCGCGGAGCCGUUUUCCUCUUUUUUGCUCGGAAGAG
Caenorhabditis elegans is the source of this 137-nucleotide non-coding RNA. Lineage: Eukaryota; Metazoa; Nematoda; Chromadorea; Rhabditida; Rhabditidae. The record is from Ensembl.